This 7065-nucleotide long non-coding RNA is filed under the name Brassica napus (rape). RNAcentral describes it as "long non-coding RNA (BNAP_LNC008515)". The record is from RNAcentral. Lineage: Eukaryota; Viridiplantae; Streptophyta; Magnoliopsida; Brassicales; Brassicaceae.
UUGCCUGAAGUCCCUAGUACAUCGAGGGAACGAGGUCUUGGAGAAGUACUUUGUUGCUAAAUUCGAUGAAGAGUCGGCGUCGGUGGCGGGUGAGUCAAAGAUUGGUUUGGAUUUGGAACCUGUGUCCGAAGUUCCAGGGUAUGCGUCACAUCUAAGGGUUUCUUUUGUAAAGAUCCCGGAGUGUGGUACCAUUCAGUCAUUGGUAGUUAGUUCCUCGUUUGAAGAUGAAGAGAGACAAGGGUUGAUAGAUUCCGCAUUGAACAAGUAUUUUGGAACUGAUAGAGUACUCUCAAGAGGCGAUGUGUUUCGAGUUUGCACUGAGUGGAACUGUGGUUCAAGCAUUUGUGUUCAAUGUGGUCAAGGGUUAGGCUCCAAAGAAGAGGACUUUAUCUAUUUCAAGGUUGUUGCGAUGGAACCUUCUGAUGAGAGGUUUCUUCGAGUCCAUCACUCACAAACCGCUCCUCUUCAAGUAAGGAACCAACUAGGUUCGGUGCUCAGAAGAGCCGGAGCUAUAUGGAUUUAAGAGGCGCCUUAAUCGCAAUUAAGCGCGUAAUGUUUUUACUUAUAUAUUUCUAGUAUAGAAUAUGAUCAGUGUUUGAAACAUACUAUAUCUAGUGUUAAAAUAAAAAGAUUAUUGUCGUUUUUUCUAAAAAAAUACAUAAAAUGAAAAAUAAUUCGAUUCAAUUCGCUUGUGUAAUGCAAUAGCAAUUGUUAAGAAAUAAAAUCGUCUUUAAGUUUCAAAAAAAAAAAGAAAAGAUCGUCUUUGCAUAGUAAGUACUUACCUGGAAACAUAUAACUGGAAGAAAGAAUCUAAAUACAUUAUUGAAAAGUUGAUACAAGUCAAUAGCAUUGACCAAAAAAAAUAUAGUUAUUUUUGGGUAAAAUAUAUUUUUAACGCCGUCAGCAAAAUACUAAACCUUAAACCAUUGGAUAAUCCAUAAAACUUGGAUAAAUCCUAAACCCUAAAUCAAAAACAAUAAACAUUAAAUCUUGAAAACACUUAACACUUAGACCCUUGGAUUUAGUAUUUUUAAGAUUUAAUGUUUAGUCUUUUUGAUUUAGGAUUUAGAAUUUGUCCAAGAAUUUAAGGUUUAUCCAAGGGUUUAGGCUUUAUCCAAGGGUUUAGAGUUUAAGAUUUAAUGUUUUGACGAUGGUGUUAAAAAUAUUUUUAAAAAUAACUUCUUUUUUUGUAACUAGUACUAUUUUUAUUUAUUUUUACUUUAUUAUUUUUAAAUCAUGAUAAAAUUGAUAAUAUUUUAUUUUCUUUUUUAAAAAAUACUAAAUAUGAAAUAAUUAAUCUCUAUUAGUCGGUGAACUCUAGGAAGUGAACCCAAGAAUAACUCAAAAAAUAAAAUACAAGUCAAUAGCAAAGACUGGACAAAACACGAUCGCUCACAUUUCACAAACACACACUAUAUAUAGCUAUACAUACACACACUAUCACAAAUCAAACUCCCCAACCAAAAAAUAAUAAUUAUUCACUAUGCAAAUAAAUCAAAAUAUUGAAGUUUGAAGACUCUUGUUUUUUAAAUCAAGAAACCGAGUGUCGUCUUUUUCUCUGAAACAAGAAACGGCUCUCAGUACUUGCCUUUCCCUUCAAAGAAGGUUUAAGACUAGCGAAGCUGAAAAGAGAAUUGAGUUUGCUUAUCUUUUUAGCAAAAGACUUGAAAAGCUUAGUCCCUGGAUUAGUUUUAACGAGUUCUUGUCUAAUAGAGAUGUGAUCUUUCUCUAGAUCCGUUAAUCUCAUCCUCAUCCUCGCCACUUCAAGCUUUAACUCUCUGUUUUCUCUCCUCACUGACGCAUAGUUAUCUCUUGGUGAUAUCGCUCCACUUCCUUGUGAUCCAAGCCAACCAAACAAACAACCAUGAAUUAGCAUAGACGAAUAAAGGCUAAAUCAUACUAUAUACUCCCUCUAUUUAUCAAAGAAAGUCAUUUUUGAAACAUUUAAGGCGGAUUAAAAAAAAUACAAAAUACACUAAUAUUUUUAUUUAAUUUACGAUUAAUUAAAUGGUAAUAAUUUAAUUAAAAAUCUAUUGGUCAUUUAAAAGAGAAAAAUAGAUUUAAUAUGUAAAAUCACAUUGGAAAUGUAUUAAAAAAAUGAUAGUUUUUGUGAAACAUGAGUAUAGAAAGACUAUACAUUAUACAAUGCUGAGGGGUUAUGAAGUAAAAUUACCUGCUCCACUUCCUCCCCGUUGGGGAAACUGAUGACAGUUACCACUGAAUAGAAACUGAGUAGGACUAAUGCUACUGCUCAUUGCGUUUCUGAGUCUAAUCUGCUCAAAGUACAACACUUGUACCGCCAUUUGCACUGGUAACCUCUCGUUUUGCGCUGCAUGGCUACAAGCUUCUUGUGACAGUUUCUGUGAAUCUAUCGUCUUACAAAGUCGGUAGCGCUCUGAAUCCUUUAUAUUCGGAUGUACCUAUCAAAAAUAAAUAAAACCAAUAUUCAAAAUAUCUUUAGACAUAACUAAACGUUUCGAUACUAGGUGUAUUCCUCCGAUUAUAAGUAGGACCUAGUCGUAAACAAAUUAGAUGUUUUAAUUUUAAGUUUAAUUAUAAAAUUAUUUUGAUGAAUUAUAAAAUUUAUAUAUACACAAAAUAAUAAAUUAGAUAAACUUGUGCAUUUAAAUUACAUUUAUUGGUUGGUUUGAUAUAUUUAGACAUAUUUAGAUGUGCACAAAAAGACCAAUGUAGAUUAAUUAAAACAUAUUAAACUAAUUUUAACCGGUUUUGAACGGUUUAAACCGUGGUGAGGCGCAUUAAUAAGAAAAUCGUUUCAGUUACAACCGACUUAAGUGGCCUCAACCCAUUUAUAAAACAUUAAAUAAAACAAUAUGUGAACUGGCUAAUUUAUAAAAUGAGAGAAAGGUUCAAGAGGUUUUUACUUUGAGGUAAAUGUCAACGGCUCGAUAAAGACCAUCACUGAUGAUACGAGCAUGAUCUGGCAAGAGCUCAGCUAAAGCUAUGAACUUCGACGUUGUUAGAUUCGUAUCCAAAGCUAUCUCCGCUAGAUAGUUAUCCAUCAGCUUCGAUACUUUCAAGAUCGAGCUCUGUUUUGGAGAUCCAGGACUGUCGAAAUCGAAAAUCAUCUCUGUUUCAUCACCAAACCGGUUACGAUGAUGUCGAUCUUCUUCUUCAUCAUCGUCUUCUUCGUCUAGAUUCAAGAAUAUAGAGAAGAUUCUCAAGAUAGAAUCAAUGUCGUACAUCGUGUUGUUGACUCCGUUAGGGCUUGUCGGAAUCAAGACAUCUUCGAGGAUGGCUUGGUCUAGCUGAAGACCGAUCCUUCGCUCUAAAUCUGAUCGACAUGAUCUUAUAGAAGCAGAGGAUGAUGAUGUUGCGAUAACCAUUUUGAGAAGACUUGAAAGAAACGCUAUUGGAACAGAGCUUUUUCUUCCUUGCGUGGGAAGUAACCUAACGAUUGUUUCUACAAUCAUUCUCUGUUUCUUCUUUGCUUCUGAAUCGAUAACCCUUUCUUUGUCAAGCUUUGUAUCCCUAACUAUUAGCCCUUGAAGUGACUUAUUCGUGUAACUGAUGAGAAUCUUGCUGAUCACGUCUUGUCUUAACCCUUUUGACCUAACCGCAGAGACAACUCUCUGGAAGAACUCAAGAUUCAAAACAGCUACCGACUUCCCCCACCAGUCUAGUGGAGUCUCUGGCUCCAUAUUCGCACCCGAAAACGUAUAAUCGAGCUUUAAUAGACCCGAGGUGAGCUGCUCUUUGCAGGCGUUGUUGGCGAUUGCUAUGACCAAACGGUUCACCAAGUUGAGAUCUUCAGAGACUGGUGUAAGGGCUUCACAGUGAUGUAGAACGAGUAUGGAGUUAGAGAUACUUGGGAGGACCGUUUCUUUGAAGUAAUGUUCUGUUUUGAUAGCGAGAUUGUCCUCUGAGAAGUCCUCAGCCAUCUCUAGGUAAUGAGAUGCACAACGAAGCUUAGCUACGUUGAGAAGGUUGAUCUCAAUGUUGAUUCCAUAGCAGAACUUAGCUGCUAGCUCAAAGGCCUCAGAUCCUCCAGGAACACUCGAGAGACAUAUGUUGAAGGUUUUGGAAUCUGUAAGAAGCUUCCUGAUCUUUCCACUCCGAGAAACAAGAGGAAACUGAGAACACCAAACCAACAAGCAAAAAAAGUUCAAAACUAUAUAACUCAAGAAACAGAGGAUCCUCUGUUUUGGUAUAGAUGCUCUGUUUUUAGGUUUUGUGUUUGCUUAUUUUUACCUUAUGAAGACAGAAACUUGAAGAUCCAACUUGAACUGUAAGAUCACUAGAGACUUCAGAUAUUGGCCUGCAAGAACACAUAAACAAACCCAUUAAGAUUCUGAAGAUUUUUCAAUAAUGAUUUUCUGAAUUAUUGAAGCAAAAGAUCUGUGUGGACUUGAAUUUGAUGAUCAUGUAAGAGCUGCUUGUGUCUUCCAUGACUCCAACGCUAAGAUUCUAGGAUAAGGAAACAGUAAAAUCUAUCAUCUAAAAUAGUGUGUGUGUUUUCCUUGGUUUUGAGGCCAUUUUUAGAUUCACAGUUGAGACAUGUAAAAGGUUAUGUCAACAUCAAACUUUUCAAAUGAAGACAGAACCAAAUGAAGUGUGAUUGUACGGAUAUGUUCCACAUAGAUACAAAAUAGGAUGGAGAAAUUAUUGGUUUUUGAUGAACAGUGAGAGAUUGUGACAAUAAAUGACUUGUGGCUACAGAGAUUCACAUCACAUACAAAAAGAUUUGGAUCUUUAUUAGCUAAAUUUUUCAUGGGAAAGAACAAAUCUCUUAUUCGUUUUUCUGACAUGUUUCUAGUGAAUGCAGACAAAACUAAAAUGGUAAUCAUAAAUUACAAUACUAUAUAUAUUACCAUUCAGAGGCAUGUCUGAUGCUUGAGUUCAGACGAAACCCUCUCUUUCCUGUGAAAGUUGGCUUCACUUCUCCUACUGUAGAAAGUCCCAUCUCUCUCUCUUCACAGAAGAAGAAGAAGAAGAGCUCUUGUGGUUGUUAUUACAAGGAGUGUACGUAGUUAAUGAUGCAAAAAGGUACAGAAAAAAAGAGUUUUGAUAUCUUUGGUUAAUUAAUCUGUUAAUUACGUGUAAAGCUGAGGUCAUUAUUAUGAUACAUGAAAUUAAGUUAGUGAAAACAAAUGCAUGUAUAUACAUUAAUUGCUACUAGUGUUCUUUGAUGUAUGAGAUGCAUUUCAAUCUCAUUAUUAUGGGCUAAGGCAUCUAUUUUUCUCUUGUUGAUCCUGUGGUAAUUGUAAUGAUUACUUAUAAUUUCAUGAUUAUGUCCACUCUUGGUUGCCUUCAACUAACCGAAAUUAAUUUUUCAUUUUACAUUCUCUGCUCAAAAAAUUAUUGAUAAACUAUUUAAAACCUAUUUACAAACAAUACCAUACUGAAACGAUUUUUAACAGCAAAAAGUUAACACUAAAUUAUUUUAUUGCAUAGUGUUUUAUCUACUAAUGUGAUAAUAUCCAGUGGUGGUUUUUUUUUUGUAAUGCAAAAUUCUAUUUAUAAAUUUUAUAAGAGGAUAUGUAUUGUGUCAUGUGAAUUAUUUGGCGAGACCAAGCUUUAAGCUCACUCCAUGCUUUAAUUUUUGAAUAUGUAUUGUUUAAUGUGUGGUCCAAAAAAAUGUUAGAUGAUUUCUUGCUUUGGUUAUGAAAAUGAAAGAAAUAAAGAAUUAGAAAAGCUGUAGUGAUUCCUAGUGAUUACACCGAUUGAGAUUUAUACUUAGCUUUAAGGCUGUGUUAAUGUGUUAUGUAAUGAUGUUAGGCUGAUCGAUUAAUCUCGAGCCCCUCGAAACAUAAUAUAUAAUUUUAUGGUAAUUAUGAAAAAUUAAUCUAUUGUUGGAUUAGUUACAUUACGUAUGAAUAUAUGAUAAGCUUUUUGUGAGUUUGAUUGUGCAAGGUUGACCAAUAGAUUAGUGAUAAAAAAAAAUUAUCACAAGAUAUAGUGGUAUUAAAAAAAAAACAGUUUACCAAACAAAACAGUGAUUUUUUUAGUACUAAUUGUUGGCUAAGAUUGGUUGGUUCUGUCAGAAUGUAUAAUAGUCCAUCGAAAAUGUAAAGCUGUUAAAAGAUUUGGACUCAAAUGCAAACAAAAAAAAAACAAAUUUUGUGACGGCGCGUCAGGCUCCGAGCAUUAUCUGAUCCUCUUCUUCCUCCUCGGUUCGCGUAUUCGAAUCUCUUCAACGGGAGCUCCAAGCUUCUAAUGGAAAAUUAGGGCUUUUCAAUUUCUUUUUGAGUUUCCGUUGCGAUGGUUGAGAGACGGAGUCCUCUGGUGCUCUCAUCCACCAGAGCCACACUCCGUUCAGUCCUGAAUUCGUUUCGACCCGACGAGAUUCCGGGAAGACCCGAUUCGAUACGGCGGAGCGUUAGGUUGCCAGCUGGCGUGCUCAGAUGGAAACGAGACGGAGUAAAUGAUUCAAAGUUUGAUUCUUUAGAUGACUCUUCACUGGUCGGACUCUCGACUCAAUUGCUCAAGAGACUAUCCAUCAACUCUGGCUCUUUCGUAAGUCUUUAGUGUAAAAAAAUGGAUCUUUUAUUGUAAAAAUGGGUGCUUUAUUGUAAAAAUGGAUGCUUUAUUGUGAGUUUUGAUGUUAACAUUUGAGUAUUUUUAUAUUGCAAGGUUGUUAUCAACAACAUCGACAUAGGCAUUCAACGGGUUGCGCAAGUUGUUGUACUUGAUCCUCCCAAUAAGACGCUGGAAGAUUCAUCUGUCACUAGCUUACCAGUUUCGGACUCUCUUCACACAAUGCUUGUCUUUCCCACUUUUGAUACGAUGAGUCAACAGUUACUAGACCAAGAGGUUGCUUACUUGUCUCCUAUGUUAGCUUUUAAUCUUAGCUUGCACAUGUCUUGCCUGAAGUCCCUAGUACAUCGAGGGAACGAGGUCUUGGAGAAGUACUUUGUUGCUAAAUUCGAUGAAGAGUCGGCGUCGGUGGCGGGUGAGUCAAAGAUUGGUUUGGAUUUGGAACCUGUGUCCGAAGUUCCAGGGUAUGCGUCACAUCUAAGGGUUUCUUUUGUAAAGAUCCCGGAGUGUGGUACCAUUCAGUCAUUGGUAGUUAGUUCCUCGUUUGAAGAUGAAGAGAGACAAGGG